CGCAAAGUCGACACUACGGCGCGUAUACAACGGAGAGAAUGCUAAAAAUAUAUAUAAACAGAAGCCAAUGACUCCUUGCAGAACGGCAGAGACCCCCCGACGGCACGAACGCCGUGAGAGUAGACGACUCUUACUUUCGGUUUUGUAAGAAACCUCAAGACAGUGAUCGCAGCAGGUGAAAGUGAUCUAAUGGAAGAACGUAACGGGGCACGUGCGAUUGGUGGAAUUUCGAAGAAAUUAAUCAACAGUGGAAUUAGACAGGCUGAUCGAUCGAAACUCAAAUUUAUACGCGAUUCGGUCACGUAUGAAAAUAUUUUCACGACUGAUGCCAACGCGUACUGGACUUGAUUGGUCGCUGAUGGAUUCAUUGUACGCUGUUUUAAUAGCGUAAUGUCAUGAGAAUUAUCCAGUUAUGGCAACGCAUCGUUCGGGUCAAUCUCUUGAACCGUGACCGAUGGAUUCAACCGCAGCAAAACCGUAUCGUAUAACCCACGUUUCUCUGGGUAAUUAAGGCGUCCGAGCGACGGGGCUUUCAAGCGUCACUGAGAAUUAUUUACGACUGUGAAAGACGCCGAAAGAGCGUUACUGCUCGGCAGCAUCACUCGUAGGUGUAUAAAGCCACGUGUAACACAAAGAUCUGUUGUAAGAUGAGGCUGCGAUAUAAACACUGUCUUGUGAAUAUAUUACGAGGAACAAUAAAUAAGACAGAGGAUCACGAACAGAGAAAUAAAAACUAUGAGAGACGCCGCGGCGGUGAGUUUGUUGUGUGUUAAUUAGAUUGCGUCUCCAAUAUGUCUUGGGCGAUCGAUACGCCAUCGGCGAAUCUAGUAAAAUAACGGGGAUAAUUAUCGACAACCGAUACACCAUGAGAUGGAUGAAAAAUAGUGAGAUACAAAAAAAAAGCUUCAGAUUCGUCGCUCCAGCAUCCAAGACACGCCUGAGACGUUGGAUCAUAAGCAAACCGCAGAUUAUUCAGGUCACUGGGCCGUGCCAACGGAAAAGAAUAUACUUUGGUAAAACUAUGAAAAUCAAGGACGUAAGGGAAUCCUCCUGUCUCACAGAUCCAAUAAUCAUUGACAUCCUAAUUACCCGUCAAUGUUAAACGUCCAUCGUACGCAGCAGUCUUGGGAUAAAUGUACAAGAAAUAAAAAGACAGUCUUCCGGUUAGCCCGAAGGUGGCGUGGGUACUGGGCAUGAAUAUAUCGCGUGGCGAAUGACUUUAUGGCCGAGUACAUUGUUAUUAUCUCCCAGCGCUGUACUUUCCACGUCGGUAUUCGGACACAGUGAUCUAUUUGUUCGUCGAGAGUGAAACUAGGUAAGUGGCCGGUGUGCGGCCAUUGUGCCGAUUGUUUCACGUGGCUUCGAUGCUAAUGACAAUGAUACGAGAAAGAGAGAAGACGACGAGAGAGAGAGAGAGAGAGAGAGAGGGGGGAUUAGAAGAUUGAGAAAAAGAACAAAGACGUGGAUAUACGCAUAUAUAUACUUUUGAUGAAGCCGCAA
Long non-coding RNA from Cephus cinctus (wheat stem sawfly), 1500 nucleotides. RefSeq lists it as uncharacterized. The record is from RefSeq and is a predicted model, not a curated record. The transcript is spliced from 7 exons. NCBI's taxonomy places the organism in Eukaryota, Metazoa, Arthropoda, Insecta, Hymenoptera, Cephidae.